Molecule: unclassified non-coding RNA, 304 nt
Filed under: uncultured fungus
Lineage: Eukaryota; Fungi
Description: partial contains small subunit ribosomal RNA, internal transcribed spacer 1, and 5.8S ribosomal RNA
Rfam family: Eukaryotic small subunit ribosomal RNA (bases 1-73)
Source: RNAcentral
GCAAACUUGGUCAUUUAGAGGAAGUAAAAGUCGUAACAAGGUUUCCGUAGGUGAACCUGCGGAAGGAUCAUUACCGAGUGCGGGCCCUCUGGGUCCAACCUCCCACCCGUGUCUCCUGUAUACCCUGUUGCUUUGGCGGGCCCACCGGGGCAACCCGGUCGCCGGGGGGCGUCAUGCCCCCGGGCCCGCGCCCGCCAGAGCGCCUUAUGAACCCUACUGAAGAAGGACUGUCUGAGUACCUUGAUAAUUAAUCAAAACUUUCAACAAUGGAUCUCUUGGUUCCGGCAUCGAUGAAGAACGCAGC